This 367-nucleotide long non-coding RNA is filed under the name Oryctolagus cuniculus (rabbit). RNAcentral describes it as "lncRNA (ENSOCUG00000038226.1)". The record is from RNAcentral. Lineage: Eukaryota; Metazoa; Chordata; Mammalia; Lagomorpha; Leporidae.
AUGUGUGACGCUAAUCUUCAGGAUGCUGUGAAAAUAGUUUUAUUUUGUUACCUGCUCUAUCAGAUCACUAAUAUUCUGAAAAUGGAUUCACAUGACAGUAGGAAGCUGUCAGGAAGCAAGGAGCUGAAGAUCACAAGGACGACUAAUUACAACAGGAAACAGGUUCGAAUUUGCCUUGGAGGCCAUUUAUCUGUGUUUGAAAGACAAACCAGAAGGAAAAUAGAAGACACUUUACAGCUUUGUGGAUCCUUUGGGUACAAUAGACAAUGUAAUUAAAUUGGUAAUUCCAAGAACACUGCAGUUAUUUUUGGAACAAUUUUUCUCAGGUCUAUAAUAAUACAAAUAAAAAAUCCCAUCCCUGAAUUCA